This 253-nucleotide ribosomal RNA is filed under the name uncultured bacterium. RNAcentral's name for it is "partial 16S ribosomal RNA". It matches the Rfam family "Bacterial small subunit ribosomal RNA", at positions 524 to 776 of the family's 1533-position model. The record is from RNAcentral.
UACAGAGGGUGCUAGCGUUGUCCGGAAUCACUGGGCGUAAAGGGCGCGUAGGCGGCCUGAUAAGUCGGGGGUGAAAUCCUGUGGCUCAACCACAGGGCUGCCUCCGGGACUGUCGGGCUCGAGCACAGUAGAGGCAGGUGGAAUUCCCGGUGUAGCGGUGGAAUGCGUAGAGAUCGGGAAGAACAUCGGUGGCGAAGGCGGCCUGCUGGGCUGUUGCUGACGCUGAGGCGCGACAGCGUGGGGAGCAAACAGG